Molecule: non-coding RNA, 105 nt
Filed under: bovine gut metagenome
Description: FMN riboswitch (RFN element)
Rfam family: FMN riboswitch aptamer (RFN element)
About the family: The RFN element is a highly conserved domain that is found frequently in the 5'-untranslated regions of prokaryotic mRNAs that encode for flavin mononucleotide (FMN) biosynthesis and transport proteins. This element is a metabolite-dependent riboswitch that directly binds FMN in the absence of proteins. In Bacillus subtilis, the riboswitch most likely controls gene expression by causing premature transcription termination within the 5' untranslated region of the ribDEAHT operon and precluding access to the ribosome-binding site of ypaA mRNA.
Source: RNAcentral
UUCUUCAGGGCGGGGUGCGAUUCCCCACUGGCGGUACAGUCCGCGAGCGAAUAGCUGAUUCGGUGAAACUCCGAAACCAACGGUUACAGUCCGGAUGAAAGAAGA